Rhinopithecus roxellana (golden snub-nosed monkey) is the source of this 731-nucleotide RNA transcript. It is a transcript of the gene named histone H3.3-like, with no coding region annotated. The transcript has a single exon. The record is from RefSeq and is a predicted model, not a curated record. NCBI's taxonomy places the organism in Eukaryota, Metazoa, Chordata, Mammalia, Primates, Cercopithecidae.
UUCGCUCGCCGAGCUCGAGCCGAAGGAGAAGGGGGGUAAGUGAGGAGGUCUCUGUACCAUGGCUCGUACAAAGCAGACUGCCCGCAAAUCGACCGGUGGUAAAGCACCCAGGAAGCAACUGGCUACAAAAGCCGCUCGCAAGAGUGCGCCCUCUACUGGAGGGGUGAAGAAACCUCAUCGCUACAGCGUCUGGUGCGAGAAAUUGCUCAGGACUUUAAAACAGAUCUGCGCUUCCAGAGCGCAGCUAUCGGUGCUUUGCAGGAGGCAAGUGAGGCCUAUCUGGUUGGCCUUUUUGAAGACACCAACCUGUGUGCUAUCCAUGCCAAACGUGUAACAAUUAUGCCAAAAGACAUCCAGCUAGCACGCCGCAUACGUGGAGAACGUGCUUAAGAAUCCACUAUGAUGGGAAACAUUUCAUUCUCAAAAAAAAAAAAAAAAAAAAAUUCUCUUCUUCCUGUUAUUGGUAGUUCUGAACGUUAGAUAUUUUUUUUCCAUGGGGUCAAAAGGUACCUAAGUAUAUGAUUGCGAGUGGAAAAAUAGGGGACAGAAAUCAGGUAUUGGCAGUUUUUCCAUUUUCAUUUGUGUGUGAAUUUUUAAUAUAAAUGCAGAGGCGUAAAGCAUUAAUGCAAGUUAAAAUGUUUCAGUGAACAAGUUUCAGCGGUUCAACUUUAUAAUAAUUAUAAAUAAACCUGUUAAAUUUUUCUGGACAAUGCCAGCAUUUGGAUUUUUUU